Molecule: ribosomal RNA, 292 nt
Filed under: uncultured bacterium
Lineage: Bacteria
Description: partial 16S ribosomal RNA
Rfam family: Bacterial small subunit ribosomal RNA
Source: RNAcentral
GUGCCAGCCGCCGCGGUAAUACGUAGGGUGCGAGCGUUAAUCGGAAUUAUUGGGCGUAAAGGGUGCGUAGGCGGAUAUAUAAGUUAGAUGUGAAAAGCCAGGGCUUAACCUUGGUCGUGCAUUUAAGACUGUAUGUCUAGAGUUUGUAAGAGGGGGGUAGAAUUCCAAGUGUAGCAGUGAAAUGCGUAGAGAUUUGGAGGAAUACCGAUGGCGAAGGCAGCCCCCUGGUAUAGAACUGACGCUGAGGCACGAAAGCGUGGGUAGCAAACAGGAUUAGAAACCCGGGUAGUCC